Molecule: ribosomal RNA, 251 nt
Filed under: uncultured bacterium
Lineage: Bacteria
Description: partial 16S ribosomal RNA
Rfam family: Bacterial small subunit ribosomal RNA
Source: RNAcentral
ACGUAGGUCACAAGCGUUGUCCGGAAUUACUGGGUGUAAAGGGAGCGCAGGCGGGAAGACAAGUUGGAAGUGAAAUCCAUGGGCUCAACCCAUGAACUGCUUUCAAAACUGUUUUUCUUGAGUAGUGCAGAGGUAGGCGGAAUUCCCGGUGUAGCGGUGGAAUGCGUAGAUAUCGGGAGGAACACCAGUGGCGAAGGCGGCCUACUGGGCACAAACUGACGCUGAGGCUCGAAAGUGUGGGUAGCAAACAG